UACGGGGGGGGCAAGCGUUGUUCGGAAUUACUGGGCGUAAAGGGCUCGUAGGUGGCCAACUAAGUCAGACGUGAAAUCCCUCGGCUUAACCGAGGAACUGCGUCUGAUACUGGAUGGCUUGAGGCCGGGAGAGGCGAGUGGAAUUCCCAGUGUAGCGGUGAAAUGCGUAGAUAUUGGGAGGAACACCAGUGGCGAAGGCGGCUCGCUGGACCGGUUCUGACGCUGAGGCGCGAAAGCGUGGGGAGCAAACAGG
This 253-nucleotide ribosomal RNA is filed under the name uncultured bacterium. Its description in RNAcentral is "partial 16S ribosomal RNA". It matches the Rfam family "Bacterial small subunit ribosomal RNA", at positions 524 to 776 of the family's 1533-position model. The record is from RNAcentral.